UACAGAGGGUGCGAGCGUUGUUCGGAAUUAUUGGGCGUAAAGCGCGAGUAGGCGGUCUGUUAAGUCGCGUGUGAAAGCUCCCGGCUCAACCGGGAAAGUGCGCGCGAAACUGGUAGACUUGAGUCCUGGAGAGGGUGGCGGAAUUCCCGGUGUAGAGGUGAAAUUCGUAGAUAUCGGGAGGAACACCAGAGGCGAAGGCGGCCACCUGGAAAGAGACUGACGCUGAGAAGCGAAAGCGUGGGGAGCAAACAGGAUUAGAUACCCUGGUAGUCCACGCCGUAAACGAUGAGUGCUAGCUGUGUCGGGAGUUGACCCCUGACGUGGCGACGCUAACGCAAUAAGCACUCCGCCUGGGGAGUACGGCCGCAAGGUUAAA
RNAcentral lists this ribosomal RNA (376 nucleotides) under uncultured bacterium. RNAcentral's name for it is "bacterial SSU rRNA". It matches the Rfam family "Bacterial small subunit ribosomal RNA", at positions 524 to 898 of the family's 1533-position model. The record is from RNAcentral.